This 1373-nucleotide ribosomal RNA is filed under the name uncultured bacterium. RNAcentral describes it as "bacterial SSU rRNA". It matches the Rfam family "Bacterial small subunit ribosomal RNA", at positions 28 to 1381 of the family's 1533-position model. The record is from RNAcentral.
GAUGAACGCUGGCGGCGUGCCUAAUACAUGCAAGUCGAGCGAACGGACGAGAAGCUUGCUUCUCUGAUGUUAGCGGCGGACGGGUGAGUAACACGUGGAUAACCUACCUAUAAGACUGGGAUAACUUCGGGAAACCGGAGCUAAUACCGGAUAAUAUUUUGAACCGCAUGGUUCAAAAGUGAAAGACGAUCUUGCUGUCACUUAUAGAUGGAUCCGCGCUGCAUUAGCUAGUUGGUAAGGUAACGGCUUACCAAGGCAACGAUGCAUAGCCGACCUGAGAGGGUGAUCGGCCACACUGGAACUGAGACACGGUCCAGACUCCUACGGGAGGCAGCAGUAGGGAAUCUUCCGCAAUGGGCGAAAGCCUGACGGAGCAACGCCGCGUGAGUGAUGAAGGUCUUCGGAUCGUAAAACUCUGUUAUUAGGGAAGAACAUAUGUGUAAGUAACUGUGCACAUCUUGACGGUACCUAAUCAGAAAGCCACGGCUAACUACGUGCCAGCAGCCGCGGUAAUACGUAGGUGGCAAGCGUUAUCCGGAAUUAUUGGGCGUAAAGCGCGCGUAGGCGGUUUUUUAAGUCUGAUGUGAAAGCCCACGGCUCAACCGUGGAGGGUCAUUGGAAACUGGAAAACUUGAGUGCAGAAGAGGAAAGUGGAAUUCCAUGUGUAGCGGUGAAAUGCGCAGAGAUAUGGAGGAACACCAGUGGCGAAGGCGACUUUCUGGUCUGUAACUGACGCUGAUGUGCGAAAAGCGUGGGGAUCAAACAGGAUUAGAUACCCUGGUAGUCCACGCCGUAAACGAUGAGUGCUAAGUGUUAGGGGGUUUCCCCCCCUUAGUGCUGCAGCUAACGCAUUAAGCACUCCGCCUGGGGAGUACGACCGCAAGGUUGAAACUCAAAGGAAUUGACGGGGACCCCCACAAGCGGUGGAGCAUGUGGUUUAAUUCGAAGCAACGCGAAGAACCUUACCAAAUCUUGACAUCCUUUGACAACUCUAGAGAUAGAGCCUUCCCCUUCGGGGGACAAAGUGACAGGUGGUGCAUGGUUGUCGUCAGCUCGUGUCGUGAGAUGUUGGGUUAAGUCCCGCAACGAGCGCAACCCUUAAGCUUAGUUGCCAUCAUUAAGUUGGGCACCCUAAGUUGACUGCCGGUGACAAACCGGAGGAAGGUGGGGAUGACGUCAAAUCAUCAUGCCCCUUAUGAUUUGGGCUACACACGUGCUACAAUGGACAAUACAAAGGGCAGCGAAACCGCGAGGUCAAGCAAAUCCCAUAAAGUUGUUCUCAGUUCGGAUUGUAGUCUGCAACUCGACUACAUGAAGCUGGAAUCGCUAGUAAUCGUAGAUCAGCAUGCUACGGUGAAUACGUUCCCGGGUCU